UUGAAGAGUUUGAUCAUGGCUCAGAUUGAACGCUGGCGGCAGGCCUAACACAUGCAAGUCGAGCGGUAGCACAGAGAGCUUGCUCUCGGGUGACGAGCGGCGGACGGGUGAGUAAUGUCUGGGAAACUGCCUGAUGGAGGGGGAUAACUACUGGAAACGGUAGCUAAUACCGCAUAAUGUCGCAAGACCAAAGUGGGGGACCUUCGGGCCUCAUGCCAUCAGAUGUGCCCAGAUGGGAUUAGCUAGUAGGUGGGGUAACGGCUCACCUAGGCGACGAUCCCUAGCUGGUCUGAGAGGAUGACCAGCCACACUGGAACUGAGACACGGUCCAGACUCCUACGGGAGGCAGCAGUGGGGAAUAUUGCACAAUGGGCGCAAGCCUGAUGCAGCCAUGCCGCGUGUGUGAAGAAGGCCUUCGGGUUGUAAAGCACUUUCAGCGGGGAGGAAGGCGGUGAGGUUAAUAACCUCAUCGAUUGACGUUACCCGCAGAAGAAGCACCGGCUAACUCCGUGCCAGCAGCCGCGGUAAUACGGAGGUGCAAGCGUUAAUCGGAAUUACUGGGCGUAAAGCGCACGCAGGCGGUCUGUCAAGUCGGAUGUGAAAUCCCCGGGCUCAACCUGGGAACUGCAUUCGAAACUGGCAGGCUAGAGUCUUGUAGAGGGGGGUAGAAUUCCAGGUGUAGCGGUGAAAUGCGUAGAGAUCUGGAGGAAUACCGGUGGCGAAGGCGGCCCCCUGGACAAAGACUGACGCUCAGGUGCGAAAGCGUGGGGAGCAAACAGGAUUAGAUACCCUGGUAGUCCACGCCGUAAACGAUGUCGAUUUGGAGGUUGUGCCCUUGAGGCGUGGCUUCCGGAGCUAACGCGUUAAAUCGACCGCCUGGGGAGUACGGCCGCAAGGUUAAAACUCAAAUGAAUUGACGGGGGCCCGCACAAGCGGUGGAGCAUGUGGUUUAAUUCGAUGCAACGCGAAGAACCUUACCUGGUCUUGACAUCCACAGAACUUAGCAGAGAUGCUUUGGUGCCUUCGGGAACUGUGAGACAGGUGCUGCAUGGCUGUCGUCAGCUCGUGUUGUGAAAUGUUGGGUUAAGUCCCGCAACGAGCGCAACCCUUAUCCUUUGUUGCCAGCGGUCCGGCCGGGAACUCAAAGGAGACUGCCAGUGAUAAACUGGAGGAAGGUGGGGAUGACGUCAAGUCAUCAUGGCCCUUACGACCAGGCUACAAAGAGAAGCGACCUCGCGAGAAGCGGACCUCAUAAAGUAUGUCGUAGUCCGGAUUGAGUCUGCAACUCGACUCCAUGAAGUCGGAAUCGCUAGUAAUCGUAGAUCAGAAUGCUACGGUGAAUACGUUCCGGGCCUUGUACACACCGCCCGUCACACCAUGGGAGUGGGUUGCAAAAGAAGUAGGUAGCUUAACCUUCGGGAGGGCGCUUACCACUUUGUGAUUCAUGACUGGGGUGAAGUCGUAACAAGGUAACCGUAGGGGAACCUGCGGUUGGAUCACCUCCUU
This 1506-nucleotide ribosomal RNA is filed under the name Klebsiella pneumoniae. RNAcentral's name for it is "bacterial SSU rRNA". It matches the Rfam family "Bacterial small subunit ribosomal RNA". Lineage: Bacteria; Pseudomonadati; Pseudomonadota; Gammaproteobacteria; Enterobacterales; Enterobacteriaceae. The record is from RNAcentral.